UUAUAAAACUUGUGGAUAACACCAAACUGGCAGGGUUGCAUGCACUUUGGAGGACAGGAUUAGAUUUCAAAAUGAGCUUGACAAAUUGAUGAAUUGGUCUGAAAUCAGCCAGAUGAAAUUUAAUAAAGAAAAGUGGAAAGUACUACUCUUAGGAAGCAAAAAUCAAAUUCACAACUACAGAAUGGGAAAUAACUGGCUAGGCAGCUGUACUUUUGAAAAAAACAUGGGGGUUAUAGUGGAUCACAAAGUAAAUAUCAAUCAAUAAUAUGAAGUGGUUGCUAAAAAGGCUAAUAUCAUUAAGCGGGUAUUGUUAUAGGGUAUCUACCUCACACCGGUCUGGAAGGGGUUAACAUGGGCCUGAGAGAAAGCUGAGUUUAAUUGAUAACGAGGCCCAGCUGGGGAGUGGCUGGGUGGUGAUUAUAAAGCCAGGAGGCUUGUAGCAGAAGGGAGGUUUUCCUUAUGAUACUAAAGUGAGUGAAAGGCUAUUUAAAAAAAAAAGGGGGGGGGGCUAAAAAAAUUAGUGAAGAAAAUGGCAGUCAUACACUUGUGUGAUGAAGUUGCUGUGCCAAAAACCAGACAAAUACAAAGCAAGGGAGUUGCUGGUAGAGAGUCUGCAGUCAAUCUCUGGGGGACAAAAGAGGUUGAUCCCUGUCCCUGGUAUGGACCCUGAAUUUAUUUGUAUUUGAACCCGCAGCUCCCUUCAUGAGAGCCCUCCAUACCCAUGCCAAACCGCUGCACGGACAGUUGAUGCGGGGGAUUUACCUGUCUGUUACUGUAUUACUUACCCAUUCAGCCAAGUGUAUCCGCGUCACGGCACCAAGAUGUUGGCGGGGGUCCAGCUCCCGCCUCCCUCUUAGUUCCCAGACACAGUUUGUUGGAAAAUAACAGUCCAGAGUCCAGUCUUCAGGCAAUUUGAUGGGUUCAUUGGGGCUAAACAAGCCAGCAUAUUUCGAAGCCCUUCACACCAGUUGGGCUAUGUCUAUAUGCUGAUAGUUUUCCUUUUCCCCUUCCCCAACUAUUAUUCUGUACGCCGAUAGAUUCCCCUUCUUCUCCUGACCCCUAGCUCCAAACGCCGAUGGAGCUCGGGGGGGAGGGGCGGAGAAAUUGGGGGGGCAGCCUUGUGCUUUCACUUACAUUUUUGCUUGCUUAUUUAGCCUGUUUAAACUAAAAGCAAAGCCAGAAGCAAAAUUGUUUAGUUUUUACCCUAUUUAUUUGACAUUUUUCUAACAUGUACUAGAAUUCUUUAAGGAGAUCAA
Long non-coding RNA from Dermochelys coriacea (leatherback sea turtle), 1256 nucleotides. RefSeq lists it as uncharacterized. The record is from RefSeq and is a predicted model, not a curated record. The transcript is spliced from 3 exons. NCBI's taxonomy places the organism in Eukaryota, Metazoa, Chordata, Testudines, Dermochelyidae.